UACGUAGGGUGCGAGCGUUAAUCGGAAUUACUGGGCGUAAAGCGUGCGUAGGCGGUUCGUUAUGUCUGCUGUGAAAUCCCCGGGCUCAACCUGGGAAUGGCAGUGGAAACUGGCGGGCUUGAGUGUGGCAGAGGGGGGUGGAAUUCCGCGUGUAGCAGUGAAAUGCGUGGAGAUGCGGAGGAACACCGAUGGCGAAGGCAGCCCCCUGGGCUAACACUGACGCUGAGGCACGAAAGCGUGGGGAGCAAACAGG
Molecule: ribosomal RNA, 253 nt
Filed under: uncultured bacterium
Lineage: Bacteria
Description: partial 16S ribosomal RNA
Rfam family: Bacterial small subunit ribosomal RNA
Source: RNAcentral